This 171-nucleotide ribosomal RNA is filed under the name Triticum aestivum (bread wheat). Its description in RNAcentral is "partial small subunit ribosomal RNA". The record is from RNAcentral. Lineage: Eukaryota; Viridiplantae; Streptophyta; Magnoliopsida; Poales; Poaceae.
AUGCUCGUACUUUCAGUAUGGAGCUGGGAGCGUCUGCCGAUCGGACGCCCGAAGGACGUAACGUACAAGGCUUAGGAUGACCACGACAACGAACUACAGCUCCCCACUUGGGCUUACAAGUGGGAUGUUGAUGUAGGGUGGAACCACUACAAGAAAUAUGUCAACUUAUGA